Molecule: signal recognition particle RNA, 100 nt
Filed under: Sanguibacter keddieii DSM 10542
Lineage: Bacteria; Bacillati; Actinomycetota; Actinomycetes; Micrococcales; Sanguibacteraceae
Rfam family: Bacterial small signal recognition particle RNA
About the family: The signal recognition particle (SRP) is a universally conserved ribonucleoprotein involved in the co-translational targeting of proteins to membranes. Archaeal SRP consists of a 7S RNA and homologues of the eukaryotic SRP19 and SRP54 proteins.
Source: RNAcentral
GGCUGACCCCUCGUGCGGCGUCAUCUCACUGAACUCCCCCAGGGCCGGAAGGCAGCAAGGGCAGGUGAGCUCUGAUGGGUGUGCGAGGGGUCUUCUGCAU